This is a non-coding RNA of Sus scrofa (pig), 1078 nucleotides long. Lineage: Eukaryota; Metazoa; Chordata; Mammalia; Artiodactyla; Suidae. The record is from RefSeq and is a predicted model, not a curated record.
GCAAAACCUUCUCAGUUCUAGGGUUCUGGAGACUGAAAAAUCUGAAGAUGGACACUCUUUCCAGAAAUUACAUGGUUUCAGAUUUUUACAAGAAAAGAGACUUUAUUUGGAAUGAUUUGCCAAGAUAUUAUAAAUCAAGACACAUACAAAACAGACUUCAAGGAGCUACAGAAACUUACAGAAUUUCAGGAGCUAUGAAAAUAAACUACUGCCAAUGUCCCCAUAGGACAUAUAAAUUUAACUCCGGAGGAAAGAACAAAUGAAAUCAAUUCACUUUUCAAAACGUUACAAAUCUAGCUCAUAGACUGCAUAGCUACUUUUUUCUUUAAAAAUUUGAAUCAAGAUAAUACAUGGAGGGGAUAAAAAGCAAAACCUUUGGAAAACCUGGCAAUGAAAAGCUACAGCUGUGUCAUUUCCCCAUCUUGUGUUCCAAACCCUAAAGAUGAGAAAAUGGAGGCUUAGGAAGAUCUGUGCUUGCUCAAGACCACACGGUUGGUAAGUGGAAUUGGGUCCAAUCCCAGGUCAGCCCCCACGCCUGGCUAUGUCCUGUGGUCCCAGAGACCCUUUUGCCUGGCACCUGUUCCCGAAGUGGGCUCACCUGCUAUUUUUACAUCUAUUACUCUGCAAGGAAUGCUGAAUCCCCAGAGACUUGGCUCCCUGGCUUGUUAAAAUACCACAUGAGUGUGGAGGAGGGGUGGUUACGGAGAAGAUUGCAGAGACCUGUGAUUCAGUCCUAGAGGUCUAGCGCCCUUUGAGUUCCCUCGUUCUCUUGCUGCAGGGAAGCAGGCUUAGAAGAGCUGGUCCAGGAUAUUUUACAGGAAUAGGGAUGAUGAGGCAGAAGCCAGCUCAGAGAUUCCCUGUUCAGCGCUGUUCUUCAACAGCGGCAAAAGAGAACAACAACAUUUGAGUGGCUAUUUGUUCAGCAUCCCACCCCAAAUCUGGGAACACGGGGUCUCAGUGGUGUCACCCUUAUUAGGGUGUCUCUCUCCUCUGUGGCUCUGUGGAAGGCUGCAUUUGUUCUCCUUGCUCCUGGCUGGUUCAAGUCCCCAAGCAGACCUGAGCACACCUGAAAAUUGUU